RNAcentral lists this long non-coding RNA (288 nucleotides) under Elaeis guineensis (African oil palm). Its description in RNAcentral is "long non-coding RNA (EGUI_LNC057743)". The record is from RNAcentral. Lineage: Eukaryota; Viridiplantae; Streptophyta; Magnoliopsida; Arecales; Arecaceae.
CUUUCUAUUUUCACUUCAGAUUUUUUUUUACCUCUUCCUUAUCUAAUCCCAUGUCCAAACCACCCUUUGGAUGAGAGUUUAUGCCAUAUGGGGCACCCUUUAUAUAAGGAAUGAAGGGACGCCACAUAUUUUUCCAAGGGGCACCAACUCUUGGCAUCCCACCUCCCUUACAUGCUAAAAUCAAUUUUUAGCAUGGAAUCCCAUGGGUUAAGGUAUGGAAUAAGAGGUCUUUAACAAGUAGAAGGACUCUUCCUCUACUAAAAAAAAUUAGAACACCAAACUAUGGUA